RNAcentral lists this ribosomal RNA (250 nucleotides) under uncultured prokaryote. RNAcentral describes it as "partial 16S ribosomal RNA". It matches the Rfam family "Bacterial small subunit ribosomal RNA", at positions 524 to 773 of the family's 1533-position model. The record is from RNAcentral.
UACGGAAGGUUCGGGCGUUAUCCGGAUUUAUUGGGUUUAAAGGGAGCGCAGGCGGAGGAUUAAGCGUGACGUGAAAUGUCCCGGCUCAACCGUGGAACUGCGUCGCGAACUGGUUUUCUUGAGUGAGUGCGAGGCCGGCGGAAUUCGUGGUGUAGCGGUGAAAUGCUUAGAUAUCACGAGGAACCCCGAUUGCGAAGGCAGCCGGCCAGUCCUUAACUGACGCUAAAGCUCGAAAGUGCGGGUAUCGAAC